This 531-nucleotide ribosomal RNA is filed under the name uncultured Bifidobacterium sp. RNAcentral describes it as "bacterial SSU rRNA". It matches the Rfam family "Bacterial small subunit ribosomal RNA", at positions 355 to 896 of the family's 1533-position model. The record is from RNAcentral. Lineage: Bacteria; Bacillati; Actinomycetota; Actinomycetes; Bifidobacteriales; Bifidobacteriaceae.
UGGGGAAUAUUGCACAAUGGGCGAAAGCCUGAUGCAGCGACGCCGCGUGCGGGAUGAAGGCCUUCGGGUUGUAAACCGCUUUUGAUUGGGAGCAAGCGAGAGUGAGUGUACCUUUCGAAUAAGCACCGGCUAACUACGUGCCAGCAGCCGCGGUAAUACGUAGGGUGCAAGCGUUAUCCGGAAUUAUUGGGCGUAAAGAGCUCGUAGGCGGUUUGUCGCGUCUGGUGUGAAAGUCCAUCGCUUAACGGUGGAUCUGCGCCGGGUACGGGCAGGCUGGAGUGCAGUAGGGGAGACUGGAAUUCCCGGUGUAACGGUGGAAUGUGUAGAUAUCGGGAAGAACACCAAUGGCGAAGGCAGGUCUCUGGGCUGUUACUGACGCUGAGGAGCGAAAGCGUGAGGAGCGAACAGGAUUAGAUACCCUGGUAGUCCACGCCGUAAACGGUGGAUGCUGGAUGUGGGGCCCAUUCCACGGGUUCCGUGUCGGAGCUAACGCGUUAAGCAUCCCGCCUGGGGAGUACGGCCGCAAGGCUA